Molecule: ribosomal RNA, 460 nt
Filed under: uncultured bacterium
Lineage: Bacteria
Description: bacterial SSU rRNA
Rfam family: Bacterial small subunit ribosomal RNA
Source: RNAcentral
CAUGCAAGUCGAACGGUAACGCGGAGAGCUUGCUCUCUGGCGACGAGUGCGGACGGGUGAGGUAAUACUUAGGAAUCUGCCCAGUAUGGGGGACAACAUUCGGAAACGGAUGCUAAUACCGCAUACGCACUACGGUGGAAAUGGGGGAUCUUCGGACCUCACGCUAUUGGAUGAGCCUAAGUCGGAUUAGCUUGUUGGUGAGGUAAUGGCUCACCAAGGCGACGAUCCGUAGCUGGUCUGAGAGGACGAUCAGCCACACUGGGACUGAGACACGGCCCAGACUCCUACGGGAGGCAGCAGUGGGGAAUAUUGGACAAUGGGCGCAAGCCUGAUCCAGCAAUGCCGCGUGUGUGAAGAAGGCCUGCGGGUUGUAAAGCACUUUCAGUAGAGAAGAAAAGCCUAGGGUUAAUACCCCUGAGUCUUGACGUAACCUACAGAAGAAGCACCGGCUAACUCCGUG